UCUAAAGGUGAUGAAAACGAAGCUGGUGCAGGUGCUGAUAAUGCUGCUGCUUACAACGGUAAUUUGGUUCGUAGAGUGUUGACUGGAAGUGGGACCCCUUUAAAGCCCAAUGAACCUCUUGACGUGUUUUUGUUUGCUUUGUUUAAUGAGAAUCAGAAGCCCGGCCCCACUUCUGAAAGGAACUACGGGCUUUUCUAUCCUAAUGAACAGAAAGUUUACGACAUUACGCUUACAAAGGAUGGUUUGGGGAAUGGGCCCACCAUGAAUAACGGGAGUAAAAGCACGGUGGUGACUGCGCCGGAGCCGGCUUUGGAGGCGAGUAAGGUGGGGAACACGUGGUGCGUGGCCAAUGAGAA
This 356-nucleotide long non-coding RNA is filed under the name Nicotiana tabacum (common tobacco). RNAcentral describes it as "long non-coding RNA (NTAB_LNC011136)". The record is from RNAcentral. Lineage: Eukaryota; Viridiplantae; Streptophyta; Magnoliopsida; Solanales; Solanaceae.